CGGGCUGGGUGUGAUGUGGGUUUGGUGUCGCCUGACAGGCAUAUCAAAGUACAGCACACACUAGUGCCGCAAUUCCUGGCAAGUGAUGGAAUGGAGCGCUAAUCCUUUGGAGGGCAGGCACAAACGCGGGAGUUGUUUCUUCAGGGCACGGUGCCUGCUGCUAAAUCCCUUCUCUACCUCUACCGGCUGUCUGCUGCCGCGGCACCCCGACCCCUGGCCCAGUUCUUCCGGCACUAUUGAUGAAUGAGGGGGCAGCGAUGUGUGAGUCACGCAAGAGAAUUGUGUGCGCUGCGCCGGUGUGUGCGCGGCACCGGACAGCCCGUUGUGUGUCGAUGUGGGAAGUUGUGCGCGUUUGAGGUAAUAGCACACGUCUGAGUGGAGCUCGGCUGCCGGCCCAUAGAAGAUGGUGAAAUAUCUGAGAAAGACCCGGCCUCUCUCCGAAGCCACAAGGACAAACUCAUAUCCGCAUUCGCAUGUGGCUCCUGCCAGUUCGGCGCUCCCUCCCCAGAAAGCUGAUCUGUCGGAGUUUUUGUUCCAGGUUGUGGCUGUUGCAAAUCCAUUACAUCAGAUAAAAGAAGGGACGGAAAUCUGAUGCUGCCUCAGAUCCCGUUGGGGUUGUCAAAGACAAGCGGAUGAAAAAUAGAGGAUUACUCCACUCUCUCCUUAUUAAGUCACCGCAGAUGGAGGGACCGUUGCAGCCAUAUGUCCCAGCAUCAGUCCCCCCCUUUUUUUUUAUUUUCCUAAUCUGAUGCAAUACGCUUAGGGGAGAACUCCUCAAAAACGAUAACUUGCUCAGACUCGCACACUCAUAAGAAAAUAAAUAAAGCAGUAUUGCACCAUUUUUAUGGUAAGUUUUAUACUUAUAGCCCAGCAUUAAGAGGAAGGAAACAUUUCUCCCCUUUUUAUAAAAUGACUGUUUUACCCCAAAGCUUAUAUCCUUU
This 941-nucleotide long non-coding RNA is filed under the name Oryzias javanicus (javanese ricefish). Its description in RNAcentral is "lncRNA (ENSOJAG00000023609.1)". The record is from RNAcentral. Lineage: Eukaryota; Metazoa; Chordata; Actinopteri; Beloniformes; Adrianichthyidae.